AAUAGAUACCCUGGUAGUCCACGCCGUAAACGAUGGAUACUAGCUGUUGGAGGUAUCGACCCCUUCAGUAGCGAAGCUAACGCGUUAAGUAUCCCGCCUGUGGAGUACGGUCGCAAGACUAAAACAUAAAGGAAUUGACGGGGACCCGCACAAGCGGUGGAUCGUGUUCUUUAAUUCGAUGCUAAACGAAGAACCUUACCAGGGUUUGACAUCCCUUGAAUUAAUCCGAAAGGAUUGAGUGCUUUAUUGAACAAGGUGACAGGUGAUGCAUGGCCGUCGUCAGCUCGUGUCGUGAGAUGUUUGGUUAAGUCCAUCAACGAGCGCAACCCUUGCAAGUAGUUGUAUUUUUCUACUUGGACUGCCCCGGUGACGGGGAGGAAGGAGGGGAUGAUGUCGGGUCAGUAUUUCCCUCACAUCCUGGGCUAGAAACACGAUACAAUGGCUAGUACAAUGCGCAGCGAAGCCGCGAGGUGAAGCAAAUCGCAUCAAAGCUAGUCCCAGUUCGGAUUGGAGGCUGAAACUCGCCUCCAUGAAGUCGGAA
RNAcentral lists this ribosomal RNA (541 nucleotides) under uncultured bacterium. RNAcentral's name for it is "bacterial SSU rRNA". It matches the Rfam family "Bacterial small subunit ribosomal RNA", at positions 777 to 1331 of the family's 1533-position model. The record is from RNAcentral.